ACUCGACGCACUUCCGAUCUGUUACAUACUUCAGUGCCGUAGCGCCUGGUAUGAGCCUCGUGGAGAAGCAAUCGCUAGUCCACGGGGCUCAUACUUCAGCGCUGCAGCGCUUGGUACUCGGACCUCGGCUCGAGGCAUUUUCUCUAUCCCU
Brachypodium distachyon (stiff brome) is the source of this 151-nucleotide long non-coding RNA. RefSeq lists it as uncharacterized. NCBI's taxonomy places the organism in Eukaryota, Viridiplantae, Streptophyta, Magnoliopsida, Poales, Poaceae. The record is from RefSeq and is a predicted model, not a curated record. The transcript is spliced from 3 exons.